GAUGAACGCUAGCGGCAGGCUUAACACAUGCAAGUCGAGGGGUAGAAGGAGCUUGCUCCUUUGAGACCGGCGCACGGGUGCGUAACGCGUAUGCAAUCUACCUUUUGCAGAGGAUAGCCAGAGAAAUUUGGAUUAAUACCUCAUAGUAUGUGAGGAUGGCAUCAUUUUCACAUUAAAGUCACAACGGCAAAGAUGAGCAUGCGUCCCAUUAGCUAGUUGGUAAGGUAACGGCUUACCAAGGCUACGAUGGGUAGGGGUCCUGAGAGGGACGAUCCCCCCACACUGGUACUGAGACACGGACCAGACUCCUACGGGAGGCAGCAGUGA
Molecule: ribosomal RNA, 327 nt
Filed under: uncultured bacterium
Lineage: Bacteria
Description: bacterial SSU rRNA
Rfam family: Bacterial small subunit ribosomal RNA
Source: RNAcentral